Molecule: small nucleolar RNA, 113 nt
Organism: Macadamia integrifolia
Lineage: Eukaryota; Viridiplantae; Streptophyta; Magnoliopsida; Proteales; Proteaceae
Product: small nucleolar RNA Z107/R87
Exons: 1
Source: RefSeq, a predicted model, not a curated record
GAUUGCGGUGACGACUCCAGUAAUUCAAGCUCAACAGACCGGAAUGCAGGUUUCUUUCUCUUCGGAGUUUGUAGGAAUCUGCGUGUGUCGAUUUCCCGCUGAACUGAGCAAUC